CAGCAGCCACGGGAAUACAGAGGGUGCAAGCGUUAAUCGGAUUUACUGGGCGUAAAGGGCGCGUAGGUGGUUAUUUAAGUGAGAUGUGAAAGCCCCGGGCUUAACCUGGGAACUGCAUCUUAUACUGGGUAACUGGAGUGCAGUAGAGGGUGGUGGAAUUUCCUGUGUAGCGGUGAAAUGCGUAGAUAUAGGAAGGAACACCAGUGGCGAAGGCGACCACCUGGGCUCAUACUGACACUGAGGUGCGAAAGCGUGGGGAGCAAACAGGAUUAGAGACCCCUGUAGUCCCUGUCUCUUAUAC
Molecule: ribosomal RNA, 301 nt
Filed under: uncultured bacterium
Lineage: Bacteria
Description: partial 16S ribosomal RNA
Rfam family: Bacterial small subunit ribosomal RNA
Source: RNAcentral